GAUGAAGAACGUAGUAAAAUGCGAUAAGUAAUGUGAAUUGCAGAAUUCAGUGAAUCAUCGAAUCUUUGAACGCACAUUGCGCCCGCCAGUAUUCUGGCGGGCAUGCCUGUUCGAGCGUCAUUACAACCCUCAGGCCCCCGGGCCUGGCGUUGGGGAUCGGCGGAGCCCCCCGUGGGCACACGCCGUCCCCCAAAUGCAGUGGCGGUCCCGCCGCAGCUUCCAUCGCGUAGUAGCUAACACCUCGCGACUGGAGAGCGGCGCGGCCACGCCGUAAAACACCCAACUCUUCUGAAGUUGACCUCGAAUCAGGUAGGAAUACCCGCUGAACUUAAGCAUAUCAAUAAGCGGAGGA
RNAcentral lists this unclassified non-coding RNA (352 nucleotides) under soil metagenome. Its description in RNAcentral is "partial contains 5.8S ribosomal RNA, internal transcribed spacer 2, and large subunit ribosomal RNA". The stretch from base 1 to 120 matches the Rfam family "5.8S ribosomal RNA", at positions 35 to 154 of the family's 154-position model. The record is from RNAcentral.